RNAcentral lists this ribosomal RNA (522 nucleotides) under uncultured bacterium. RNAcentral's name for it is "bacterial SSU rRNA". It matches the Rfam family "Bacterial small subunit ribosomal RNA", at positions 8 to 526 of the family's 1533-position model. The record is from RNAcentral.
AGAGUUUGAUCAUGGCUCAGAUUGAACGCUGGCGGAAUGCUUUACACAUGCAAGUCGAGCGGCAGCGCGGGGCAACCUGGCGGCGAGCGGCGAACGGGUGAGUAAUGCAUCGGAACAUGUCCAUGUCGUGGGGGAUAGCCCGGCGAAAGCCGGAUUAAUACCGCAUACGCCCGAGAGGGGAAAGCGGGGGACCGCAAGGCCUCGCGCGAUUGGAUUGGCCGAUGUCCGAUCAGCUAGUUGGCGGGGUAACGGCCCACCAAGGCGAUGAUCGGUAGCUGGUCUGAGAGGAUGAUCAGCCACACUGGGACUGAGACGCGGCCCAGACUCCUACGGGAGGCAGCAGUGGGGAAUUUUGGACAAUGGGGGAAACCCUGAUCCAGCCAUUCCGCGUGAGUGAAGAAGGCCUUCGGGUUGUAAAGCUCUUUUGUCCGGAACGAAACGGGUAGCGUGAAUAUCGCUGCCUACUGACGGUACCGGAAGAAUAAGCACCGGCUAACUACGUGCCAGCAGCCGCGGUAAUAC